RNAcentral lists this ribosomal RNA (522 nucleotides) under uncultured bacterium. RNAcentral's name for it is "bacterial SSU rRNA". It matches the Rfam family "Bacterial small subunit ribosomal RNA", at positions 777 to 1297 of the family's 1533-position model. The record is from RNAcentral.
AAUAGAUACCCCGGUAGUCCACGCCGUAAACGAUGAGUGCUAAGUGUUAGAGGGUUUCCGCCCUUUAGUGCUGCAGCUAACGCAUUAAGCACUCCGCCUGGGGAGUACGGCCGCAAGGCUGAAACUCAAAGGAAUUGACGGGGGCCCGCACAAGCGGUGGAGCAUGUGGUUUAAUUCGAAGCAACGCGAAGAACCUUACCAGGUCUUGACAUCCUCUGCUAACCCUAGAGAUAGGGCGUUCCCCUUCGGGGGACAGAGUGACAGGUGGUGCAUGGUUGUCGUCAGCUCGUGUCGUGAGAUGUUGGGUUAAGUCCCGCAACGAGCGCAACCCUUGAUCUUAGUUGCCAGCAUUCAGUUGGGCACUCUAAGGUGACUGCCGGUGACAAACCGGAGGAAGGUGGGGAUGACGUCAAAUCAUCAUGCCCCUUAUGACCUGGGCUACACACGUGCUACAAUGGAUGGUACAAAGAGCUGCGAACCCGCGAGGGUAAGCGAAUCUCAUAAAGCCAUUCUCAGUUCGGA